UAUAUAUAAGUGUAUUUUUGCACUAAAAUUUUUGAAAUUUUGAGAUUUAGAACUUUUACUCUAAUAUGUAU
RNAcentral lists this transfer RNA (71 nucleotides) under Oberthuerella sharkeyi. RNAcentral describes it as "tRNA-Gln". Lineage: Eukaryota; Metazoa; Arthropoda; Insecta; Hymenoptera; Liopteridae. The record is from RNAcentral.